Molecule: RNA transcript, 4793 nt
Organism: Nelumbo nucifera (sacred lotus)
Lineage: Eukaryota; Viridiplantae; Streptophyta; Magnoliopsida; Proteales; Nelumbonaceae
Gene name: RAD3-like DNA-binding helicase protein
Source: RefSeq, a predicted model, not a curated record
GAGGUUCAGCGAAGUGUUAAAACUCGAGCAAUGAGCCAUCAGCCAUGGUGACAAGCCUAAACUGAACUGAAUAACAACGAGUUCCACCAAGCAGAGAGAAAGGAAGCACGAAAUGGAAACAAAGUUCCCCGGGUUCCCCUUCGAGCCCUAUUCCAUACAGGUCGAUUUCAUGAAUGCUCUUUAUCGUUUUCUUGACAAGGGAGGUGUCUCCAUGCUUGAAAGCCCUACAGGGACCGGGAAAACCCUAAGCAUCAUUUGCAGCGUUUUGCAGUGGGUUGUUGAUAGGAAGCAGGUUGAUGCAGACUCCGUCACGAAUCAAACAUCUGGAGCUCAGUCUGCGUCUGAUGAUGAACCUGAUUGGAUGAAGGGUUUCGUUCCAGAAAAGAAAGACCGGGAACAGGAGAAGAAGAAGAAGACGAAGAAUCUUGCUCAUGGAUUGGCAAAUUCUGAUAAGAGAAGGUCUACGGGAAGUUGCAGAGAUUUUCUCUGUAAGAGCGCGGUAGAAGAGGACUUCUCUGAGAAGGAGGAGCUUGGGAAGCCUCAGAAGACGAGAGAUGCAUUGCAGUUGGAAGAUGAAAACGAGUUUUUGUUGGAUGAGUAUGAGAGCGAAGAGGAAGGUGUAGUUGGUGGGAAACCAAAGAGGAAGGAUUGUAGAAGUUGUUUUAGUUCAACGAGCGAUGAGGAGGAGGGGCAAUUAAGUGAUAAGGAAGAACAUGAGAGUUUCAAAGUUUAUUUCUGCAGCCGCACACAUUCUCAGCUCUCUCAGUUCGUGAAAGAGUUGAGGAGAACAAUUUUUUCUUCUGAGUUAGAAACAGUAUGUUUGGGCUCCAGGAAAAACUUAUGUAUUAAUGAAGAUGUCCUAAAGCUUGGGAAUUCCACACGGAUCAAUGAACGAUGCUUGGAGCUUCAGAAGAGCAACAAAAAAGAAGUUUCCAAAAUCAAGGUCCUUGCUGGAGGAAAAAUACGUAGAAUGAAAACUUCUUCUGGUUGUCCUUUGCUUAGAAAGCACAAACUACAAAAGCAGUUCAAGACUGAGGCCUCUCAAUAUGGUGCCUUGGAUAUUGAGGAUAUUGUUCAGCUUGGCAAAAGGAUCGGGACUUGCCCAUACUAUGGCUCCCGGAGCAUGGUCUCUGUAGCUAAUCUUGUGGUCCUUCCUUAUCAAUCUCUUCUUUUGAAGUCUUCUCGGGAAUCGCUUGGUUUGAAUUUGAAAAAUAGCAUUGUGAUUGUAGAUGAAGCUCACAAUCUAGCAGAUUCUCUUACCAGCAUGUAUGAUUCAAAAAUUAUGCUUUCACAGUUGGAGCAGGUACAUUCCCACUUAGAGCUGUACCUUGAUAGAUUCCGGAAACUGUUAGGAGCUGGCAAUCGAAGAUACAUACAAACUCUGAUUGUUCUAACUCGAGCAUUUCUCAGACUGUUACUUAAUGAGAAGAGUGCAGACUCUAUUGAUAUUUGUCAAAGGAAUGGACAUGCUACUGGACAGAAAUCUCUCCCUGAUUCCUCAAUGACCAUCAAUGAUUUUUUGUUUUCUCUUGAUAUUGACAACAUCAAUUUGGUUAAAUUGCAGCGCUAUGUGAAGGAGAGCAAUAUCGUUCACAAGGUGAGUGGGUAUGGAGAUAAGCAUGCCAGCUUGCAGAGAGGUUCUGUACUUGAUGAUGAUGGAAAAAGUGGUGGAGAGGGAAGCACUUUAUCUGCCUUUCAUUCACUACUUGAUUUCUUGCUUUCACUAACAAAUAGUGAUGGCGAUGGGAGGAUAAUAAUCUCAAGGAAAAAAUCCACUUACCCUGGACAACAAGAAGGAUAUUUGAAAUAUGUUAUGCUUGCUGGAGAGAAGAUUUUCUCUGAGAUUGUAGAUCAAGCACAUGCUGUCAUUUUAGCAGGGGGCACUCUGCAGCCCAUAGAGGAGACAAGGGAACGACUAUUCCCAUGGUUACUGCCUGAACAGUUGAAUUUCUUUUCCUGUGGUCAUAUUGUCCCUCCAGAGAGUAUUUUACCAAUUGCAGUUUCUCAUGGACCCUCUGGUCUGUCUUUUGAUUUUAGCUACUCUUCCAGGAGCUCUCCAAUCAUGAUAGAGGAGCUGGGUCGUUUACUUUGCAAUUUAGUGACAGUGGUUCCUGAAGGUAUUGUUGUGUUCUUCUCGUCAUUUGAGUACGAAAGACAGGUCUAUGAUGCAUGGAAUGCUUCAGGCAUCCUUGCAAGGAUUAUGAAGAAAAAACGUGUUUUCAGGGAACCCAGAAGUAGCACAGAUGUGGAAAUUAUUCUCAAGGAAUACAAAGAAAGCAUUGUCAAGUUGUCAGAUGGGGUUCCAAAAGAAAAUUCAGUACCAUACAAUGGUGUCAUUCUCUUAGCUGUGGUUGGGGGGAAGAUAUCAGAAGGUAUCAACUUCAGUGAUGGAAUGGGCAGAUGUGUGGUUAUGGUUGGACUUCCUUAUCCGAAUCCAUCUGACCUUGAGUUGAUGGAGAGAAUAAAGCAUAUUGAUGGAUUGGGUGUUUCAAAUAACAGCAGCACCCCCAAGAUUUCAGUUAGUAAUGAAUCUUCCUAUGCAGAUAUGGUUCAGGUUGGCUUUGACAUUCUAAAAGGUUGCAAGAGAAGAGGGAGAGAGUACUAUGAAAAUCUUUGCAUGAAGGCUGUAAAUCAAUCAAUUGGUAGAGCUAUCCGGCAUAUAAAUGACUAUGCAGCAAUCUUAUUGGUUGAUGCACGCUAUGCAUCUGAUCUCCUGAAAAGAAGCUUCUCUCACCCAAGAGACAAGCUUCCGAAAUGGAUAAAUGAGCGACUUGUUUCUUCUACUGCUAAUUAUGGAGAAAUUCAUCGUCUGCUGCAGCAGUUCUUCAAAUCCAAUCAAAAGAGAGGUGUCUAGGGUGUCUGACUGUAAAAAUAGUUAAAUUCCAAGAGAUGCAUAUCCAGGAUCACAUAUCCAUUUCAUCUAGCUUGCAGAAAACCUUGUGCAGAGCCAUUAUGAUCGGCUUCAUUGGAAUCAUCUUACAAGUUGGACAGGCUGGAGAUCCAUAUUACAAAUGGGGAAGGUCAGAAAGCAACUAUGCAUGGUUCUGACUGCCAUUUUGGAAUUAGGAGGCAUGUUCGUCACCUCAUGAAAUUUCACUUCUUUUUAAAUUGUGGGCUGGCCACGCAUAACAGAGCUUGAUGGAGGAAAGCUGGCCAAUAGUUGAACUGUGUGAGAAACUAAGGACAAUGAGAUUGGAUGGACGAAGGGAAAAAGUGACAUUCUUUUUAUGUUUUCCAUGGAUGAACAGGAACUUUCUAGUGGUCAAGUCUCAUGAAGGUGUGAAGAUAAUCUAUUAGAGAUAGUUGAGAAUUAGACAAAGUAGCCAGGUUUGUUCUUGUCAAAAGGAAGGCCCUGUACUGCUCAACCUUACAAAUUUCUAUGCUUUUCUUUGUUUAAAUCAGGAGGCAGCUUAGGCACCAUAGUUUGUGAUGAGGAUGUUUUGCCACUUGGAGCUGAGUUUACUUUGGCUCUAUUGAAUGAAGACUUGUUCCAACGGUGGAUAACAAAGCCAUGCCGCCCAUGUUCAAAUGGAGAUUAAAUUUCACAUGGUGACAUGAGUCAAGUGGCAGUGUUUUCCAUUGGCGAUGGACGAUAGUCCUCCCCUCCUUCCAUCAAGGAGGGGGAAGUGAAUUCCUUGGAGCUCUGCCACAUUUUAGAAAGUUGCAUGUAGAUGUGGCUAAGGAUUAUAUAACUGAAGUCUGAAGGUUAUCACAUGGAGAUGAAAUGUUACGCCUGGAACGUGGCUGGGAAGUGUAAGGGGGCAGUUUGGUUACGGUUGAAGUGGCUGAACUGAAUAACUACUUGCUUUAUCUUUUAGUGAAUCAGUUGUGAAGUACUCUUUUUUGCCAAUGAAGCAAGAAAUAUUUCAUCAGAAGAAAUGAUAAUCUCCAUGGGACCUCAAGCCAUUUAUUAAGGUGGUUGAGAUCGUAAACUCCGUGGUGGCUGAAGCUGAAAUUGGGUUAAUUAAUGUACUCGUCAAUUUCUCAACACCCAAGGCUAAGUUUAAGAGUGUUUAUUUGAAAUAUGAGCAUUCGAUGAAAAAGCACUUAUUUUAAAUAAGGGUAGUAUAGGACGUGAAUGAAGCAGAUCCUAGUAAUGGCACCUACACAGGCGCCCUCUCUCCUGGCAUUCAUUCUCCUUGUCUUCCCUCUCUGUCUCAUGGUCAUGGCGAAGCCGACAGACCAGAAACCUUUCAGUUGCUGCGUCACUUAGAAGGAAGCCGCAAGGGAGACAGAGUAAAAGGUCUGAGCGAAGCUAAACGCUAUCUCCAGAGAUUCGGCUACCUCGACCACCAUAACGACGAUGAUGAAUUCGACCAUCAAAACAUACCAGCUGAAGCCUGGACGCCAAGACGGUGAAACAAAUGAUGUUAUUGUUGCCUCGAUGCGGGUUCCCCGACAUCAUAAACGGCGAGACAUGGAUGCGAUCAGGAUGCAAAACCACUCUGGGCUUCUCUUCCCAUUAUGCCUUCUUGGAUAAGACCCCGAAGUGGCCACCUUAUCAGACCCAUCUCAAACCGGUCACCCGAUUGGUUUCAUUUCAUCCUAAAACCAUUUUUUUGGCCCAAAACCGUUGAUUUGAUUACCGAACUGUUGACCCGGGUGGUUGAAUAAUUGACUAAGACUAUUUUUGGCCAUUAUUAUUAUUUUAUUUUUAAGUCAGAAUGGAUUAUCUGUUCGAACCAGAUGGUCGGACCAUUUGACCUGGGAAUUGGUCCCCAGAAUGGUUCCUUGUCCAGUCUGGUUUUAAAAACCUUGUUGAUAUAUAUGUUCAACCCAGGAACCAGAUGGUC